GAAUCCCGUGAACCAUCGAGUCUUUGAACGCAAGUUGCGCCCGAGGGAUCCUCCCGAGGGCACGCCUGCCUCAUGGGCGUUAGAAGCCCAUCCACGCUCUGUUGCCUAUCGGCAAAGAUGCGGACAUUGGCCCUCCGAACCGCGAGGUGCGGUGGGCCUAAGUGUGCGGUCGUCGUAUGUGGCCGGGAGCGGCGAGUGGUGGGCUACUGCGCACGUCACCCCGAGCCCCGUACCGACACAGGGCCUUUUUUCGACCCCUAACGAGGAGAUUGCUGUCGCAGCUUGCGCUGCGCGGCGCCUUCGGACCGAUACCCCAGGUCAGGCGGGGCUACCCGCUGAGUUUAAGCAUAUAAAUAAGCGGAGGAGAAGAAACUUACAAGGAUUCCCCUAGUAACGGCGAGCGAACCGGAGCAGCCCAGCCUUAGAAUCGCGGUGGCACUGCCGCCCGA
RNAcentral lists this ribosomal RNA (449 nucleotides) under Carex ovalis. Its description in RNAcentral is "eukaryotic LSU rRNA". The stretch from base 309 to 449 matches the Rfam family "Eukaryotic large subunit ribosomal RNA", at positions 1 to 141 of the family's 3401-position model. The record is from RNAcentral. Lineage: Eukaryota; Viridiplantae; Streptophyta; Magnoliopsida; Poales; Cyperaceae.